Molecule: ribosomal RNA, 253 nt
Filed under: uncultured bacterium
Lineage: Bacteria
Description: partial 16S ribosomal RNA
Rfam family: Bacterial small subunit ribosomal RNA
Source: RNAcentral
UACAGAGGUCUCAAGCGUUGUUCGGAAUUACUGGGCGUAAAGGGUGCGCAGGCCGCGCGGCAGUCAAAUGUGUAAUUCAGGGGCUCAACCCCUGUACUGCGCUUGAUACUCCGCGCUCGAGCUUUGGAGAGGAGUCGUGGAAUUCCCGGUGUAGAGGUGAAAUUCGUAGAUAGUCGGGAGGAACACCGGUGGCGAAGGCGGCGAUCUGGGUCGAUACGUGACGCUGAGGUGCGAAAGCGUGGGGAGCAACAGG